GCAGACGCUGCCUGUCCAGAUAUAAUAAAACUACUAAUAGGUUUAAUUAAAACAUAAUAAGAUCCAAAUAUAUCUGAAUCAAACUAUUAACUAAAACAAGGAUUAGAUACCCUUCUAUUGAUAGCUUAUCAUAGGGUUGGAAAAUACGAACUAUAGUUUAAACACCAAAGAAUUUGGCGGUGUCUUAUUCAAUUAGGGGAACCUGUCCUAUAAAUCGAUAAUCCACGUAGGCCUUACCUAAUUUUGAAACUCAGUUAGUGUACUGCCGUCUAAAGUAUACCUUUAUGAGAGUAUACAAUAAAUUACACCAUUAAUUAUACGUCAGGUCAAAGUGCAGCUUAUAAUUAGGCAGAGAUGGGUUACAAUCUUUAUAAAGAUACGGACCAAAUAAUCAAACUUUAUUUGUGAAGGUGGACUUAACAGUAAUUAUUUAUAGUAUAAUGAAAAUAAAAUUAAGACAAGCACAAAUCGCCCGUCACUCCGUUCAUAGGAUAAGUCGUA
Molecule: ribosomal RNA, 501 nt
Filed under: Helobdella stagnalis
Lineage: Eukaryota; Metazoa; Annelida; Clitellata; Rhynchobdellida; Glossiphoniidae
Description: partial small subunit ribosomal RNA
Source: RNAcentral